This 468-nucleotide ribosomal RNA is filed under the name uncultured bacterium. RNAcentral's name for it is "partial 16S ribosomal RNA". It matches the Rfam family "Bacterial small subunit ribosomal RNA", at positions 28 to 523 of the family's 1533-position model. The record is from RNAcentral.
GAUGAACGCUGGCGGCGUGCCUAACACAUGCAAGUCGAGCGAUUUACUUCGGUAAAGAGCGGCGGACGGGUGAGUAACGCGUGGGUAACCUGCCCUGUACACACGGAUAACAUACCGAAAGGUAUGCUAAUACGGGAUAAUAUGCUUUUAUCGCAUGGUAGAAGUAUCAAAGCUCCGGCGGUACAGGAUUGACCCGCGUCUGAUUAGCUAGUUGGUAAGGUAACGGCGUACCAAGGCGACGAUCAGUAGCCGACCUGAGAGGGUGAUCGGCCACAUUGGAACUGAGACACGGUCCAAACUCCUACGGGAGGCAGCAGUGGGGAAUAUUGCACAAUGGGCGAAAGCCUGAUGCAGCAACGCCGCGUGAGCGAUGAAGGCCUUCGGGUCGUAAAGCUCUGUCCUCAAGGAAGAUAAUGACGGUACUUGAGGAGGAAGCCCCGGCUAACUACGUGCCAGCAGCCGCAGUAA